AUUCUUCUACUUCUAUUCACACUGCGUGACUGCAGUUGCUAUUUAAUUCUAAUGUUUUCAGCUCUUCUUCAGCUGAAGGACCAUGCAGAGCACCAGGCCAGGAAGCAGCGAGCUGGAGUUCAUCACAUUCUCCCCCCUCGCUCACUUUAGUAACCUUGAUUUGGGCACAGUUAGCAAGCCAACCAGAGACUUGCAUCAUCUGACAGGGGGAUCUAUGCCAAAUACCUGGGAUAGAAGAUGCAUGAGGAAGCAGAGGAGAAGGACAGAUGAUGAAAGCUGCAGUCCUAAACGGCGAAAGCUGAUGGGAGAAGAAGGAGCAGAUGAGUAUCCAAGUCCUAAAGUGAGCCAAAGAUGGUCUGUGGACUCUACCACCACUUCCCCUCCUGAGACCAACCCGGUUCAGCUUCAGACUGAACCCAGAACAGAGAAGAUGGGUCUGCCCUUCACAUCCACUCCCUCUCCACUACCCAGAGUUCCCACAGAAGGCUCAGGCAUGGAGGUAGAGGCCACUCAGAGGAGACUGCAAGAGAUAGAAGACAGGAUAACUUUGAAGGAUGACAGCGAUGAAGAAGAGCUUGAUGUGGAACCGGCUCAGCGCAGACCAGUGCUGGUGAUGUCCGACAGCUUAAGGGAGGGGCUACAACGUGGGAUUGGUGACAUUCUACCCCAUACGGUAGCACAGUCAGUCUGA
Cyprinus carpio (common carp) is the source of this 691-nucleotide long non-coding RNA. NCBI's taxonomy places the organism in Eukaryota, Metazoa, Chordata, Actinopteri, Cypriniformes, Cyprinidae. The record is from Ensembl.